Molecule: ribosomal RNA, 253 nt
Filed under: uncultured bacterium
Lineage: Bacteria
Description: partial 16S ribosomal RNA
Rfam family: Bacterial small subunit ribosomal RNA
Source: RNAcentral
UACGUAGGGUCCGAGCGUUGUCCGGAAUUACUGGGCGUAAAGCGCACGUAGGCGGCUUUGCAAGUUAGAGGUGAAAGCCCGGGGCUCAACUCCGGAAUUGCCUUUAAAACUGCAUCGCUAGAAUUGUGGAGAGGUAAGUGGAAUUCCGAGUGUAGAGGUGAAAUUCGUAGAUAUUCGGAAGAACACCAGUGGCGAAGGCGACUUACUGGACACAUAUUGACGCUGAGGUGCGAAAGCGUGGGGAGCAAACAGG